Molecule: ribosomal RNA, 300 nt
Filed under: uncultured Ferroglobus sp.
Lineage: Archaea; Methanobacteriati; Methanobacteriota; Archaeoglobi; Archaeoglobales; Archaeoglobaceae
Description: bacterial SSU rRNA
Rfam family: Bacterial small subunit ribosomal RNA
Source: RNAcentral
GUAAACACUGUGCCCGGAGCGUGGGGAAUACAGGAGGUGGCAAGAUGAAUCGGAAUUACGGGGGGUAAAGUGGACGUAGGUGGAUGGGUAAGUGGGAUGUGAAAUCCCCGGGCUUAACUUGGGGAUUGCAUGCAAGACUGCCUUGCUAGAGUGUGGAAGAGGGAAGCGGAAUUCCAGGUGUAGCGGUGAAAUGCGUAGAUAUCUGGAGGAACAUCAGUGGCGAAGGCGGCUUCCUGGUCCAACACUGACACUGAGGUGCGAAAGCGUGGGGAGCAAACAGGAUUAGAUACCCGGGUAGUC